Molecule: ribosomal RNA, 550 nt
Filed under: Funneliformis mosseae
Lineage: Eukaryota; Fungi; Glomeromycota; Glomeromycetes; Glomerales; Glomeraceae
Also listed under: 2 other names
Description: SSU rRNA
Rfam family: Eukaryotic small subunit ribosomal RNA
Source: RNAcentral
UUGGAGGGCAAGUCUGGUGCCAGCAGCCGCGGUAAUUCCAGCUCCAAUAGCGUAUAUUAAAGUUGUUGCAGUUAAAAAGCUCGUAGUUGAAUUUCGGGAUCAAUAUUUCGGUCAUGCCGUUGGUAUGCACUGUUAUCAUUGAUUUCUCACCUUCUAAAGAACCGUGAUGCCAUUAAUUUGGUGUUACGGGGAAUUAGGACUGUUACCUUGAAAAAAUUAGAGUGUUUAAAGCAGGCUCACGCUUGAAUACAUUAGCAUGGAAUAAUGAAAUAGGACAUCCGAUUCUAUUUUGUUGGUUUCUAGGAUCGAUGUAAUGAUUAAUAGGGAUAGUUGGGGGCAUUAGUAUUCAAUUGUCAGAGGUGAAAUUCUUGGAUUUAUUGAAGACUAACUACUGCGAAAGCAUUUGCCAAGGAUGUUUUCAUUAAUCAAGAACGAAAGUUAGGGGAUCGAAGACGAUCAGAUACCGUCGUAGUCUUAACCAUAAACUAUGCCGACUAGGGAUCGGAUGAUGUUAAUUUUUUAAUGACUCAUUCGGCGCCUUACGGGAAAC